GACGGAGGGGGCUAGCGUUGUUCGGAAUUACUGGGCGUAAAGAGCACGUAGGCGGCGGUGCAAGUUGGGGGUGAAAUCCCGGGGCUCAACCCUGGAAUUGCCUCCAAAACUGUGCUGCUUGAGUUCGGAAGAGGAGAGUGGAAUUCCCAGUGUAGAGGUGAAAUUCGUAGAUAUUGGGAAGAACACCGGUGGCGAAGGCGGCUCACUGGCCCGUAACUGACGCUCAGGCGCGAUAGCGUGGGGAUCAAACAGG
Molecule: ribosomal RNA, 253 nt
Filed under: uncultured bacterium
Lineage: Bacteria
Description: partial 16S ribosomal RNA
Rfam family: Bacterial small subunit ribosomal RNA
Source: RNAcentral